AGCAGCCGCGGUAAUUCCAGCUCCAAUAGCGUAUAUUAAAGUUGUUGCAGUUAAAAAGCUCGUAGUUGAAUUUCGGGAUCAAUGCGUCGGUCGUGCCUUCGGUACGUACUAGCGUCAUUGAUUCCUCCCUUCUGAAGAACCGUGAUGUCAUUAAUUUGGUGUUACGGGGAAUCAGGACUGUUACCUUGAAAAAUUAGAGUGUUUAAAGCAGGCUAACGCUUGAAUACAUUAGCAUGGAAUAAUGAAAUAGGACGUUCGAACCUAUUUUGUUGGUUUCUAGGAUCGACGUAAUGAUUAAUAGGGAUAGUUGGGGGCAUUAGUAUUCAAUUGUCAGAGGUGAAAUUCUUGGAUUUAUUGAAGACUGACUACUGCGAAAGCAUUUGCCAAGGAUGUUUUCAUUAAUCAAGAACGAAAGUUAGGGGAUCGAAGACGAUCAGAUACCGUCGUAGUCUUAACCAUAAACUAUGCCGACU
Molecule: ribosomal RNA, 473 nt
Filed under: uncultured Glomus
Lineage: Eukaryota; Fungi; Glomeromycota; Glomeromycetes; Glomerales; Glomeraceae
Description: SSU rRNA
Rfam family: Eukaryotic small subunit ribosomal RNA
Source: RNAcentral